ACUGACGNUGAGACUCGAAAGCAUGGGUAGCGAACAGGAUUAGAUACCCUGGUAGUCCAUGCCGUAAACGAUGAGUGCUAGGUGUUGGAGGGUUUCCGCCCUUCAGUGCCGGAGCUAACGCAUUAAGCACUCCGCCUGGGGAGUACGACCGCAAGGUUGAAACUCAAAGGAAUUGACGGGGGCCCGCACAAGCGGUGGAGCAUGUGGUUUAAUUCGAAGCUACGCGAAGAACCUUACCAGGUCUUGACAUCUUGCGCCAACCCUAGAGAUAGGGCGUUUCCUUCGGGAACGCAAUGACAGGUGGUGCAUGGUCGUCGUCAGCUCGUGUCGUGAGAUGUUGGGUUAAGUCCCGCAACGAGCGCAACCCUUGUUACUAGUUGCCAGCAUUAAGUUGGGCACUCUAGUGAGACUGCCGGUGACAAACCGGAGGAAGGUGGGGACGACGUCAGAUCAUCAUGCCCCUUAUGACCUGGGCUACACACGUGCUACAAUGGACGGUACAACGAGUCGCGAACUCGCGAGGGCAAGCAAAUCUCUUAAAACCGUUCUCAGUUCGGACUGCAGGCUGCAACUCGCCUGCAC
RNAcentral lists this ribosomal RNA (582 nucleotides) under Limosilactobacillus fermentum. RNAcentral's name for it is "bacterial SSU rRNA". It matches the Rfam family "Bacterial small subunit ribosomal RNA", at positions 739 to 1321 of the family's 1533-position model. The record is from RNAcentral. Lineage: Bacteria; Bacillati; Bacillota; Bacilli; Lactobacillales; Lactobacillaceae.